CGGCGCACAAGGUAUUUUGCGUUUAUGCAGGGUUCGGGGAACGGCCGCAUCUCAAGAGGGUGUGAUAUAGACAAUCUAUCUUAAUGCAAUCAUUAGUGGUUAUUUCCUCAACUCACACCCGUGACCUAUAAGUCAUACAGAGACAACUUUACUAUUGCUCUAAUACUCCCCUUCCCAUCUAACAACAACAACAACAACAAUAAAAUGUAAUCCUACAAAUGGGGUCUACGAAGGGUAAUAUCUACAUAGACCUUAUCCCUACCUGGCAAAGAUAGAAAGACUGUUUCUGAUAAAAACUCGGCUCAAGAAUCAAUCUAACACUGUAAAUACUGAAAAACAAUACAUACAAAAGGGUAACAAAAGUCUCAUCUUACAAACAAAAAAAAAAUAGAUGAUUCCACAUCAUGUCUGAGGAAGAAACAUAGUACAAAGCCAUAAAAAAAACACAGAGAAAGAUAAGCAAAGAGGACAAUUUCACUACACACUAAGACUUACGUUGGACAAAUUUACGUGGUUUUUUAGAUUUAACAGGCUUACCAAAUAUGCCACAAAUACCACAACUAGAUACCUUAGGAGAUGGAGGAUCAAUGGACGGUUCCAUGUAGUUAUCUUUAGAGCGAUAACUAAUACGAGGUUUUUGUUCUGACGAUGAUGGAGAUUUUUGUUCUUUCUUGUGUUGUUCUUGACUAUGAUCAUGAGUUGAAAUUUUGUUGAGUUCCCCAGAUAAUAAUUUAUCAUCCCAUAUUAAACCUGAUGAACCUUGUCUUCUAAAUGAUAUUUCUGACCUUGGCAAUAUUUCUCCUGUAGUUGAAGCCAUGAAACUUUAUUCUUGUUCUUCUUCUUGAUCUAAUAAGGGGAAUUCUUGAUUUGAAGAUAUCAAGGUGAAUUUGAGUCAAAAGGAUUUGUUCAAUCUUGAUAUACUAUAAGAAAUUAUAAGAUAUGAAAAGAUUGAUUAGUUGGACAAUGAUGUGAUCAUAAACUAGUGUUUGAAAUUACUUGUUUGCCCUUUGAAAUUAAUGAAACUAUUUUUGAAGAUUUAACAAGACUAGCCCGUUUGGCUAUGCAAUUUGUUUUUCAAUAUUUUUCGAAAUUAGUGUUUGGCCAUAAAAUUUUUAAUUUUCACUUGAAAAUAUGAAUUUUGGAAUUUUUGAAAAUUUUGAAAAACUACAAAAAACUAUUUUUCAAAAUUCACUCAAAUCACUAACAAAAAUUCAAAAACAACCACAAAUUAUAUUCAUGUCCAAAUAUAACUCUAAUUUUUAAAUACCACUUUCACUUCAAAAAAAAUUCAAUUUUUUUCCAGAAUUUUACAAUUCUUAAGUCUAGACGCCCACUAAAUUCUUUCUUCCGUCCUUACUCGAGAACUAUUGCCUACGAUCAUAAAUGGUAGGGUUCAAGUGAUAUUGAUUGACUGUAUAUAGGAUUUGGUAAUUAAUAAUUUGAAUUUUUUUUCUCGCCUGGUGUCCGAUAUAGGCAUUGUGAUCUGAUUAAAUUCGGGAUCGCACUGGAAGGUCUCGCAUUUGAGGAUUAUAAUUCGCUCCCUAACAAAAACGAAUCUAUACCCAAGACUCGAACCCGAGAUAAUAUGAUAUAAGACUUGUAAUUUCAAUCCGACAAAUAGGUUAGAUAUGAAGGUAGUAAGGAAGCACAAACAUGGACGACAGUCAAAAUUAUAGUAUAAAAGUAGCAGCCAUCUUUGAAUAGAAAAUUUGUUUUCAAAAUUUCAUGAAAAACAAUAUGAGUAAGAAAAUGUCACUAGUUUGAAAAAAAAAAUAUGAGUAAGAAAAUGUCACUAGCAAAUACAGUGAUUUUUUAUUUUAAAUCUUCCAGAUUAUUUCGAUGUGAUUGAUUUGAUUAUUUGGGGAAGUCUCUAAAAUUACGUUCAUUUUUCCUCGUGCUAGUUGUUUUAUCUAUGUUUGGGUAACGAGUUAGAAGUUAAUGAGGUUUAGUAUGGAGUGAUAACGUAUUAAUAUGUCGAGUAAUUACUUGAAAAACAUAAGAUUUUCCAAUGAAUUAAUAAUUAAAGUAAAAAAAUGAAUUAAUCUUUUUUUUAAUUUCCUACCCGAUUUUUAGUACCCAUCUUGGAUCCGACUAAUCCGGAUUCGUACAGAAAAAUCUUACAAUGGGGUUAAAACGCAUUCCCAAGGCUCAAAUCCGAAACUUCUAAUUUAAGUCUUACAAUGAGGUAAAACACUCUUAUGGGGUAAAACACAUUUCCAAUGCUCAAAUCCGAAACUUCUAAUUUAAGUCAUACAGUGGGGGCAAAACACACUCUCAGCCAAAGGAAACUCCAUUUCCAAGGCUUCAAACUAAGGCUUCUAGUAACAUUACUCCCUCCCUCCGUCUCGAAUUAUCUGUCGUGAUUUUUAAAAAUAGUUGUCUCAAAUUGAUUGUCAUCUUAGAAGUUCAAAACUAAAUUAAUUAUUUUUUUCUAUUUUAUCUUUAAUAUUAAUUGUUCUUGAAAACUACAAAUAACUCAAUUAUAAGUAAAUAUUAAAGGAAGAUAGAUUAUAUCUUAAGACAUAAAUAAGGGUAAACGGUCAAAAACCUCUCCUAUUUAAUAUUUUCUUAAGAGACGCGUAAAAGAGAAACACGACAGAUAAUUUGAAAUUUGAGACUGAGGGACUAUCAUGGUAAAAGGCUAUAUUCCAUCUACCUAUGCUACUCCAUUGCACAAUUUCUUCUACCAAAUACUCAUGACACAUGCAUGGACUUGGUUGAUUCAAAAUCUUGUGAAGUUUCAAGCACCUCUACAAAAACAUUUACCAUUUUCACUUCCAUUUAACACUCUCAAAACAAAACUUUGCACCAAGCUACAGUAAAACCUUUUCAGAACUAAGUUUACAUCAUUAUACUACAGAAAUCCUUUCAGAUAUGUUUCAUCAAGCCCUUAGUAAUUCUACUAAUUGCUGAAGUUCACUACUGAACUCAGCCUCCUUUUGUCUUUGAGAAUUUCACUCAGAGGUUUUGGACCUGAAAAAUCUUCUCUUUCACUUCCUCCAGAUGGCACAGUUCUCUCAAAAGAAUUUCCAUCUUCUCUUCCUUUAAUCUUUUCUUCUCUAAUUUGAGCUAGUGUCUUUGGUCCACCAAAGAUCUUAGGAACUUCAGUCGAUCUCUGCCUAGAAGCCAUCCUCCUAGGGGUUUCAUUUGCAAAAGGCUGUGACCUGCCCCGUCUCCUGUCCUUGAAAUGCUGCUGCCUGUAACUGCUUCUGUGGGAUUGUCUCAACUUCUUCAGUUGAUUGGCACCCUCCAGACGAGUGGCAUCCACAAAACCGGAGGAGAAAGAAGAGUUGCUUUCCAAUUUUGAAGCCAGACUCUGAGGCAUCCACCGAGAACCCUGUGGCCGAUGCCUAUCCCUGCAUUGCUCACGAGCAUUAAACCUAGACAGGUCUAACCUUCUAGACAAGUAAUUUGGAGGAUCACUUUCAAUGACUCGACGCUUCUUCAGAAGGUCCCGGAGGUCCACAUUGCCUCUGGCACAAAAACCCGGUUCUCUAGGAAACUUUCUUUUAUGUGGUAUACUCUGUCUUCCAUGAGCAGGGAUAACAAUUUCUCUUGCAUAUUCAUUUACUUCAUGACUCUCAACUUUACUAUAAUAAGAAUCAUCUAGUUCUUCGUCGGACACAAUUCUCAUGUCUGGAUAUGCAGGAUCAUACUCAAGGUUGUUCUCAAAAUCAUAUCCAGCAAACCGCUCGUCACACUCCCUAUCAUGCUGCAGUAGGUAACUAUGAUCAUCUUUGUGACUCCAACCUUCUAUUCUAUCAUCAACAAGAACAUCAAAACCAGGAGAUGAUUCCAACCACUCCUCUCUCUCCACAUUGUCCUCCACUUCUUCGUCUGAGCUCCAGUCGGGGGACAAAUCGGAUCCUCCUUGGGUAAAGCCUUCAGCAGGGACUAAGGAAUCUAACCUUACUGCAGUAGCUUCUUCAGAAGGAGAUCCUGAAGUCUCAUGAGAAGCACUCUGCUCACCUACAUCAUUAGUCAUCGAGAUGAGAUCCACUUGUGACUUGAUAUAUUCAUGUGCUGCUGCCUUGGAUCCAGUUUCAGAAGAAUUAGAGGGCUUCUCCACUGAUGCAGGACCAGUUUCACUUCCUACAGAUGUCUUUUUCUCAGCUGUUGGUCCAUCAGGGACUCCAGACGCUAUUUUCGAGGAUUUCCAUGUGGUUGUACCAUCAUCAGGUCCAUGCAGAAAUGAACAUCUUUCACCUUUAAUGCAAUAGCCAUUGAAAUAGAAGUAACAGGGAACAUUUGUCUUGUUAACAGGCACUGCAGAUUUAUGUUGUGGAGGAGCAGAUUCAGAUGAUGUCUCAGCAUGGCUCUCUAAUGGCUGAGGAAAUGAAAAGGAAAAAAUUAACACAAUCAAAGAAUUAAAAAUAUCAAGUUCAAGAAGCAAUUUUAUACAGGUUAGAAACAAGGACAUGAAAGAUCAGAGAAAAACAUUGCUUUAAAGCAUCAAAUUUCUUGUUAGCUUGGUACUUAAGUAACCCAAUUAAGUCGUACAAGGCAAUGACCAACCAAAUGAGAAAUCAGACGCAAAAACCUUCAGACUCGGGAAGAUCUAACGACCAGCCUCCAGGUACUUUUUCUUUGUUUUUUGGGGUAUGGUAAAUCCACCUCCAAAACCGGCCUGCCUAACACUAACCUUUAUCCGCUUUGCUUCCUUAAUGAGUAGAAUCCCCAACCUCAUGGUUGGAGGUGGGUGGUCCCGAAAACUGCAGUUUUCUUUCUUUUCUAGUUCUUCUCCCUAUACAGAUGCUUUUUAUACAAGAUUCUUAGUUGGUGGGGAAAGAGAAUUAGUUUCGAAUUUCGAUUAAGCUAUCCCUCCUCAUCAGCCAGUCUCCGGUACUUAACUCAUUUAUACCCCCAAAGCCUCUUUUCUGUUCCACCAGAAGAAUUAAUAUGAGCACAUCUUAGCGCCUUAUAUAUGCAUACAGAAUUCGUUAACAUUCAUUUCUAUCAGAAUUAAACAUCAAAAUCUUACAGCCAAGUGACAACCAAAAGGAGAAAGAAUGUUAUAUGAUAGUGUUCGUAUGUAUAAACCACUAACUAGAAGCGAGAUAGAUUACUGUAUUCUCCUGUGGCUUGAAAACGAUGAAGUCUUUUGUGUCAGAGUAACAAGAAGAAGGUAAAUCAGUCACCGAGGCAUUAAGAUUCAGGGGAAUGAAGGCGCAGAACCAACGUUUCUUCAACCGACAGAAUUUGGAGGAGUUAAAAUUAUGCUUCUGAACUGUUCAUGUUGCAAUCUUUUGUAUAUUACUUGAAUCCAUUUUGCUAGAUCUUACGCAGGUUUUUGCAGAAUUCUGCUGGUAAUCUCAUAGUUUACAUACAAGCAAGAAUAACUAUUGUUUCUUUAAAUAGUUUACAUAUGACAUUUAAAGAAAAACUAUUGUUUCUUUAAAUAUUUUACACUAUUGUUUGUAUAUUACUUGAAUCCAUUUUGUUAGAUCUUACGCAGAUUUUUGCAGAAUUCUGCUGGUAAUCUCAUAGUUUACAUACAAGCAAAGAAUAACAAUUGUUUCUUUAAAUAUUUUACAUAUGACAUGAGGUUUUGCGAACUUCACAUAAAUAAAUCAUUCAGCAGAAAGGGCUACAGACAUAAUUUCUGAUGAAUGCUUUCUUUUCUUUUUCAAAGUAAUGUCAGUUUCAAGAUACUCGCAUAAAACCAAUAAAGAAAAGGAAAUAUUCAUUUCCAUUUAUAGGGUUUACACAACUCCCUCAAAACAACAACUCCUGCAAAAGGGAAUUUUUGGGCCCCCACACCUUGAGAAGGAACAUGAAAUAAGGGAGACAGGGGACUUAAAAAGGAUGCCAAACAAAUUAUCUAAUCCCAUUAAAGAAUUUACACAAACAAGAUAGUACAACAUAUGGAAACCCCACAAACUAAUAUCAAACUUAAAUUUGACAUUACCUGAUCAAACUCAUGUAAACUUGCAUAAGUGAAUGCAGUAAUAGCAGCACACGAAAGAAGGGACCCACUAUCCCAACACCUCAGGGUGACCCAACCUGAGUUUUUUCUUUUAGUAAUAGGUAAUGCAUAGGACAAUUACACUUUGUCUACCUAAGCUCUAGAAUGGUAGAAAAAAACACGGCAUAAAAAGUAGGCUACCACAGUUGGAUGUAAGUAAAGUAAUAAAUAAAAUUUGCUGAGAAAGCUUUACAGAUAAAUACUUGGUAGAUUGUUGUUUGACGGAGUAAGGCAAAUCAUUUUGAAAGAGAUAUCCAACUCUAGAUAUUUCAACCGCAUUUUCUAAGGUUUAGUUAGAAUAUAUGAUUUCCAGAACAUGAAACUCUUGAUGAAUAAAAAAUAUAUAUGAAGAGGAUGAGUCAGAACAAGUAAAGAAUAAAAGAGAUGCUCGUGAAAACUUAAACCUUUAGAUAAUUGCACUGGUUUUUUUCAACAGUUCAGUGAUUUGGGAAUUCCGAGAAUAUCGAGGUUUCAAAUAUCGUGUUAGUCCUACGGAAUGUUGCAUUGUACUCUUCUCGAAAAAAGAAUUUGGAACUUGAGCUCUAAGCUUGUUGAAAUUCCCGAGUCACGGUUGCCAUGGUUUUGGCUGACACAGGUCUUGAGGAGCCCGCAAUUCUUAUGGUGAUCUAUGUUUCUUGACUCCUGAUGGUAUCUUGUUUUCUUGGCUGACACAGGUCUUGAGGAGCUAGUAAAUUUUAGGGAGAUCUAUAUUUCCUGACUGUUGAUAUAGGAAAAGUGCUUCUUCGACAUGAAGCUAUCUCACUUUGUCUUUUCAUGAGAAGAGUGCAGUGCAACAUUCUUUAGGAGCAACAGGAUAUUUGAAACAGCAGAGUCCUCGAAAUGCCCAAAUCACUGAACUGACUAGAAGGCCAAUGCAGUUAUCCAAAGGUUUAACUGCACCAAAAUCUCUUUAUUUUUUACUUGAUUUGAUCAUCCUUUUAAUAUAUCUUUUAUUCACAAAAAACAUGAUAUGGAUAUCAUAUACUUUAACAAAAUCUUAAAAGAAAAUGAUAUUGAUAUAUUUAGAAUUGAAUAUUCUCUUUCAAAAUGGUUUCCCUUACACCAUCAGGCAGGACUCUAUCAAGUAUAUCUGAAUUCUCAGUGCAUCUAGCUAUGGUAGCCUACUUUUUAGGUGAUGGUGGCGGUUCUACCAUUUUAGAGGUUAGGUAGACCGUAGACACAGUGUAAUUCUCCUACGUGAUAGGCUAACACUAAUACCCUAUCAAAACAAAAAGAUAGGCAAUAGUAAUAUUCUUAUAUUUUGAAAGAAGAAACAGUCAAAAUAUGUUUAAACUUGAUACACUAUUUUAAGUUGGGAGAAAGUGUCAAGCCGAAACAAAAGCAUAGUUUAUUUUUGUCGCAUUUUUGCAUUACUUAUAUGUCAAAGUCAGCACAGACAUCAAUUUCAAGGCAUAGCAGCUUCGUGCUUACCGGAUGCCGAAAAGCACAUGUUGGGUUAAGACAGCUUUCCGCCAGCCAGUACCAACAAUCCCUAGGGUUGAGCCUAGCUAUCUCACUAUGUCGAUAUUCACAUUCUAUUCCCUGGAACAAAAAUCCAUAUCACAAAACUCAGAUACAAUAAUUGAAAUAAUGAGUCAAGAAUGCACAUAAAACAAAAAUACUCAUGACAGAGUAAACCAAGAUAACCAGGUAUAAUACUUGAUACGAUGAGUCAAGAAUGCACAAGUAAGAAAACAUCUAAGAUUACCGACACUGGUGCAUAAGUUAAACAACAACGAUAAGUGUUCAUUGUAUUAAGGCUACUACUGUGAUCGUUGUGAUUCCAUCAUCUCUAAACCAUAACUGAUUAGACUUGAACUAAAAAACUAAAAUUACAAAAUAGAAAAUGAGUAAAGACCACUUAACCACAAUAAUGGACAGUAUUCUAAUAGAUAGAUAGUAUGACUUCAGUAACCACAGUAGGAUCACCGAAUCCAUUUACUUGUAAACGUCUAAAUAACACGCAAAUCUUCAACCCACUGAAUUCCCCUAGCAUGAACUCACCACUGAACCAUUCCAUUGUAAAGAAAAUCCAAGAAAUCAAUGCAACCUAAACCAGACAAAAAAUACAUCAAACAGUGUAUAAAGACCCAUACACACACAGAAUACACAUACAUUCUCCGUUUCAAUUUUAUACUAUAGUGUUUGCUAGACACAAAGUUUAACAUAUAAAUUUGAAUUUAAGUUCCAUACACUGAUAGUGUAAUUCAGUAAUUUACAAUGUAUGAUCGUAGGUUAGCUACCAUUUUUACUAGAUCACGGGUUAAUGCUCAUCAAGAGACUUACUAUCAAUUUAAGGUGUAUAGUAUAUCAGUGAUAACAUACAAAAAUACUCACUUAAUUGAUAAAGAGAACAUAACAUCAAAAUUGAAAAGGAAAAUAAGAUAAGUGAAUAUAAACACUUGAGAAUUAUAGAAAUUCUACAGAACAAUAUUAUUAGUGGAAUCACAUCAAACAUUUUAGCAUGUUUCAAAAUAAAAAAGUGCAAACACCAUAUAAAUUGGAACCCGUGUUAGAAAUGCAAGGAAAUUAAUACAUCGCCUUGUAAUACGAAAUGCGUUCAUCCAACAUUUUCCACAAAUUCUUGAACAAUUAAAUAGGAAGUCAAAUAAAUGCGAAAUUCGAAGAAAUGCAAAUGAAAAAAGAGAUAAAUACAGAAAAUUAUACCUUCUUGCAAGUGAGGGGAGAGGCUAAAAAAUAUACACAAUCAGUGUUGCGCUUUAACAAUUCUUCCUCCAUUUUUCCCCCUACAAUUUGAUUGAUUAUACAAAAUGUUCAAAUUUCAAAGCAUAACGUACAAUAUAACGUGAUAAAAUAUACAAUGAAGCCCUCAAUCCGCAUAUAUAUGGUGUUUUCGAGUUUUAUAGAAGCUAACGCUUGGGGUUUAUAUAUAUUUAUAUAUAUUAAUAAUAUUAAUUUUAUGAUUUCUUUUUUGGGUUAUGGUCCUUGCUUUUUCGGCAUGCUUCAUUGUUUGCCCGGUAAUUGUUUUUAAAUGUCCUAUUCAAUUUUCGUAUUUAAAAAUUCUUAUUUUAUUCUUAAUAUUUAAUAAGAAGGUAACUAAUAAAGUUACAGUCAUGUGAUCAGGAGGUCACUGGUUCGAGCCGUAAAAAUAGACUUUUGCAGAAAUGCAGGAUAAUGUUAUGUACAAUAGAUCUUUGUGAUCCGACUCUUCCCCGGACCCCGCCCAUAACGGGAUCGUUUUACCAUAUAAAGUGAAAUUUCUCCGCACGAAUCCAAAUAUAAUCGGGUUCCAAUGUUUGACUUAAAUUGCAUCUUCGGGUAGAGUCUAGCUAUCUCACAAUGUCGAUAUUCACAUUCUAUUCCCUAGUGUUGAGUAUUGAGAUUUUGAUGAUUAACAAAGUUUGUUUAGAUGCAAUGUUCGAAAAACUAGGUCCUCAACGUAGUUGCUUAAUUAUUCUAAGAACCAGCUCCUUUGGUUGAUGAUUGUACGUCUAUGCAAGAUAGUAACUUUAUCUCAAAGUUACCUAGGUCCAAGUUUGGUGGAAGAAGGUUGCUACAAGUGAUAGGGUUGUUGCUUAAGAAAAUACGAAUAAAUUAGUAAGAGGCAAGAGUCCCAAAACUUGUGGAGUCCUUAAAACAGUAGGAGUCCUAUCAAACGAGAAGUUGAUUAUGCAUAGGACUCCUAAAAUAUCUUGAAGUCCAUGCGUUUAAAUACUAUCUAUUUUGGACUUCUAAGAUUAACCUUUUACACAUCAACCGAAGAACUACAUUUUGUUCACUCUAAUUUAGUACUAAUGUUGUGUUCUUCUUGAGUCAGUCUAGUGAAUGUGUUUUAGGAAAUUGAUUUGUAAUCAAAGUGUCACAAAUAAUUAGUGAGAUGGAGUGAGUGUUUGCUUUACAAGUUAGAGUAACUUGUAAAUCAAAUAGUCGUAGUAGCAGUACUGGAGAGUAUUGAAUUAUAGUCUUGUAAUUGAUACAUUUUGGCUCAUUUUUCUUGUGGAGUUGAAGUUGAAAAUCCUACGCAGUAGGUCAUAAUUUUUACACCUCUUGAGCCGGGUGAUUUUUCACGUAAAAAUUAUUGUGUUUACUUUAUUGCUUAUUUUACCUCACGUUUAAGGAACACGGUAAAGAAUCAAGUUCUUUAGUAAUUCAUAUGGGCACUCAAAUUAACAGUUGGUAUCAGAGCAGGUUCUCUCUCACACACGACUAACACCUAGAGAGAUCUUAAAAGCAAGAUGAGUGCUCCAUGCGAAAUUAAUGAAGGGCAAUCAACUACCAGACCACCCAUGUUUAAUAAAAAUAUUACAGUUGGUGGAAAGCAAGAAUGGAAGACUUCUUGACAGCUUAAGACAAUGAACUAUGGACCAUAGUGAAGUAAGGUCCAUUGACUCCUGCUAAACAAAAUGCACAAAAUGAAACAGUUCCUAAGGACCCCUCUGAAUUUGUGCCAUCAUAUUUCAGAAUGAUAGAGAAGAAUGCAAAGGCUAAGAAAAUCCUUAUCUGUUAACUUGGUCUUGAUGAGUACAACAAAAAUUUUCAUGCUCUAAUGUAAAUGAGAUAUGGGAUGCACUCCAAACUUCUCAUGAAGGAACAAACCAAGUGAAGAGAUCAAGGAUAGAACUACUUACAAGAAACUAUGAGCUCUUGUCCAUGAAGUUGUUUGAGCCCAUCGAGGAGAUGAUGACUAGGUUUACCAUAAUAACUAAUAAACUGAAAUUACUUGGAAAGGUGUUUACCUCAGAAGAGUUAGUCAGCAAAGUUCUAAGUAUCCUUCUAACUUCAUGGGAAUCAAAAGUCAUGGCGAUCUAGGAAGCCAAGGAGCUGGACAAAAUAUCACUUGAUGAGUUGGUUGGAAACUUAAAGACUCAUGAAAUGAGGAAAAUAGAACUGUACAAGGAAGAACCAAAGAGGGAUAAGGCCUUAGUCCUUAAAGCAUCUGAGGAAGAUAAAUUUGACAAUGAUGAUCCUGACCUAGCAAUGUUUGAUAAGUUCAAGAGGUUCAUGAAGAACUCCAAAAGUGUAUCUAAGAGUGAGACCAACAGUAAGCCUAAGCAGAUUGACAAAGCUAAUUAUAAUGGGUGCUACAAGUGUAGCAUGCUAGAUCACAUGGUCAAGGACUUCCCAAUGUAGGAAAUUUGGUGGAGGAAAGAAUGAGCUAAAAGGGAAAAACGUGAGAAGAUGAGAGAAUAUGGUUCCAACAAAGGAAAAAUCCUAGGUAAUGGAUUCACUGAAGCAAUGAAGCAUGCCUUCUUGGAAGCAUAUGAUGACAGUGGAAGCUAUCAAGAGGAAGAAAAGGAGGAUGGGAUAUAAGUCUCUAUGUUGUAAUUGAUGAACAUCAUACAAUGGAGACAGAGCCUCCAGUACAUCUUGGAAUGCACAUUGUAAGACAUCCUCUAUUUGAUGGACACCACUAUGAUGAAUGUAAGUUACGUGUGGAAACAAUCCUUCAGGCCACUGACUUUGACCUAUGGGUAGGGCUGCUUAUCGGGCAGAUCGGGCGGUUAUUUACGCUUAACGGUUUGACCUAUUGGUUAUCGACUUAUAAAUGUAUGAGUACAUAUACCACUUGACAUUAAACAACUUAAAUUAAACACAUUUAUAUUAAUUUUCUUGAUCUAAACCUGCCUAAAAGUCUGAUGUUUUUUUGUUUUUGCAGUACCACUAUUUGUUUAACUGAUAUUCCUAUUUGCAAAUACAUUUAUAAUCACUGGUGUUAAUGAAAUAUAGAACUAUGGAAAGGGAAAUUUAAAAAUAAAAUCAAGAACAAUUGGAGGAGACAUCCAAAAUACAAUUCUUGCAGUUAACAGUUCUUCAAUUUCUGCAGCUUCAAAGUUCAAACAACUUGACUUGUUGUUCUGGUUAUGGCCGUAUGGAGAAAACGAGGAAGUGACUCGAUUCUUAGAGAAGAGAAUGUGCUUUUCGUUGAGUUAUUGUCUUGUUGGUGUCGCAACUCGCAAGAACUGUUUGGUUGAGUUGUUGCCUCAAGUUUAGAGACAUGUAGUACUCACGUUGAGACCUUGAGACCUUUCUGUGGAAUCUUUUGGUAGUUUGGUUGAGUUGUUGCCUUUCCUCAACCCUCAAGUUCAGAGAGUAGAGAGUAGAGACUGAGAGGUGAGCGCGGUGAGUAGAGAGUAGAGACUGAGAGGUGAGAGCGGUGAGAGAGAAUGUUUAUGACUGCUGAGGGAAAUUAGGAAUUUAAAUUUUAGGGUUUCAAAUAGUAGAAGAGAUAUUUAAUAUACAUAGGGAUAAAAAUAUAAAUAUAAAAAUUCUUAACGGGUUAACGGUUUAUCCGAUAAGAAAAUUAAAUAAUGCGCCCCCAAACUGAUAAGCCGUUAAUUAAAAUAUUUUAAUCCAUUCACCACCCAUUAAUCGGAUAACCUGAUAACCCGAUACCAAUAAGCUAAUUUUACGGUUCGGUUUUCGUUUUCAGUUCGGUUUUGAGCACCCCUACCUAUGGGUAAUUGUCAAUCAUGGACCAAUUCUCUUGACCAAAAUAGAUGUUGAAGGUAACAAGUGCAACAAGAGAUGAGAGGAAUACAAUGAUGACGAUCAUCAGCUAAUCCAGAAAAAUGCUAAAGCAAAGGACCUCCUUUACAGAAGCUUGCCUAGAAAUAUUAUCUACAAAGUGUCAUCUUUCAUCUCUACCCAUGAUAUAUAGAGGACCUUGAAAGCUGACUUUGGAGAUGAAAACAUCAAAGUGGCACUAAUGGCUAUUUAUGAAUCCCAAACAGAAGAAGAAGUGAUAAGAAUGAUGGCCAUGUGUAAUUCAAAAACUGAAGAUGAAACAAACCAGGUAAGUAUCUCUAACUUAAAAUAAAACAUCCAUGCUAUGUCUAAAAAAUAACCGAUGGCCAUAAUUGUGAGCAUGAUAAGUCAAAUGGAUAAAAUGAGUGAUGAAAAUGACCAGUUAAUAAGCAAUCUUUCAUGUGUCAAACUUGAUCUCAAAGAGCUUGAAUCUGACAAAGCUAAAUUAGCUAAUCUAAAAGUGACAAGUCUCUUGAUAUACAUGGUAAGGGAAAAAUGAGUGAUCAGCAGAAAAAGCUUGAAAAAUAAUUAAAAAGGGCUAAAGAUAAUCUUUGUGAUGCUGAACGUAGGAAUAAAGCCCUGUAAGAAAAUCUAGAAAAGGCUAAUUAUGAACUAUAUAGACUAAGGAAAUGGCAUAGAUCUUCAAAUGCUUUGAAUUGGCUGAAUAAAAACUGCAGCUCUAACAAAUCAGAAAUUGACGACAGAAAACUUGUUCCCAAGUUUGAUCCAAAGUAUGUAGGAAUUUAUUAUAAUAAAAUGUGCACUCAUUGUGGAAAGGUAGGACACUUUAGAGAUACUUGUCAUGUCCUAAUUCAUGCUCAGUUUAGAAACACCUUUGGUAUUGCUAAAAGUGUGAAGAAGGAAGAGGAGCCAAAAGCCAAGCCUUUUGUGCAUACUAAAUGGAUUAAGGUUAAUAAGAAAAUAGCUUCUAAUCCUCUUCCCUUCUAGGUAAGAAGAGAUCUGAUUCAUCCGUUUCCAAACAAAAAGGGACCCAAGCUUGUCUGGGUUUCCAAGACUAACUUGUGAUUUCUGGUGCAUACUAAAGUGAGAGGGAACAAUCAAGACUGGUAUCUAGACAGUGGAUGCUCAAGGCAUAUGACUAGAGAGAAUAAAACUUCCUCUCACUAACAGCCUUCUAAGGGGGGAGUGUGUUAUUUGGAAAUGGGAAAAAAGCCUAGAGAACGUAUUGGCAAAGUUGGUAAGUCAAUCUCUCAAGUUAUAGAAGAUGUGUAUUAUUUGGUAGGCCUUAAACAUAAUCUUCAUAGCAUCUCUCAAAUGUGUGACAAAGGAAAUAAAGUAAAAUUCAAUUCCAAAAUCUGCACUAUCACUAAGCUUGAUACUGAUGAAGUUGUGGUAAAAGGUACGAGACAUAACAAUAUUUACAAGAUAUCUAUUAUGUCUCUACCCCAGAGUGAGCAUACAUGCUUAAGUGUAGUGGAAGAUGACCUACUGCUAUGGCAUAGAAGAUUGGGUCAUGCUAGUCUUUCUCAACUCAAUAAGUUGGUAGCAAAGGACUUGAUCCUUGGUCUACCAAAAGUUGAGUUCUCUUCAAACAAGGUUUGGUCUACCAAAAGUUGUCAGCACCUCCAAACCUCUGGAACUCCUUUACAUUGACCUAUGCGGACCAAUGAGAGUGAGGAGCAGAGGAGGUAAGAUGUAUGUUUUUGUCAUUGUAGAUGACUUCUCUAGGUAUACUUGGACUCUGAUUUUGGGAUCUAAAGAUAAAACCAUUGAUGUUUUUUGUGUAUUUGUCAGAAUAAUUCAACAUAAACUGGGUUGCAAUGUAUUAAGUAUAAGAACAGACCAUGGAACUAAGUUUAAAAAUUCCAAAUUCCUUGAGUUCUGUAACUCACAUGGUAUUGAUCAUAAUUUCUCUGUACCUAGAACUCUACAAUAAAAUUGGGUUGUAGAAAGAAAGAAUAUAUCCCUAAAAGAUAUGGGAAGGACCAUGUUGAUUGCUAGCGGACUGCCUAAGAGUUUCUGGGUUGAGGCUGUCAAUACUGCUUGUUACUUGCUGAACAGAUACAUGGUCAGACCUAUUCUUGAGAAAAAUCCCUAUGAGUUACUUCGAGGAAGAAAGCCCAACAUCACUCACCUGACAUCACUCGGGUGCAAAUGUUUUAUGUAUAAUAAUGGCAAAGAAGCUCUAGGUAAGUUUGAUGACAUAAGUGAUGAGAGAAUUUUCUUGGGUUACUCUCCACAUAAUAAGGCCUAUAAAGUUUUUAAUAAAAGAACUAUGUGUGUAGAGAAAAAUAUUCAUGUUAUUUUUUAUGUAUCUAACAAUUUAGCUGAGAAAGGUCUGCAGUAUGAAGACUAUGACAUAGGACUCACUGGUGAUGGAGUUCCUAAGGAAUCUGAACCUCAAUCUGAUGAUGGAUCCGUAGAAGACAAGGAAAUUGACAGUGAUCAUGAGGAACAAGAAGAAGAGAGAACUAGUUUGACUGCUAACCAGGCUGAUGAAGCUAUACCUAGUGUACAUAUUCCUUUGGGUCACUCCUUGGGUGAAUCUUCUAUGGGUAUAUAGAUCAUGCUAUGGAAAUAUCAAAGUUCACAUCCUCUUGAGAACAUCAUCUUUGAUCCAAAUGCAAGAGUGCAAACUAGGUCAUCUUUGAGAAAUCUAUGUGCACUCACAACAUUUCUCUCACAAGUUGAACCUAAGACCAUCAAGGAAGCUCAAGAGGAGCUAAAUCAAUUUGAAAGAAGAAAGGUUUGGUACUUGGUACAAAGACCCAAGAACAGAACUGUCAUAGGUACCAGAUGGGUGUUUAGAAAACAAGCUGGAUGAACAAGGAAAUGUCACAAGGAACAAGGCCAAACUGGUGGUUGAGGGAUAUAAUCAAGAGGAAGGUAUUGACUAUGAUGAGACGUUUGCACUUGUAGAUAUAAUGAAAGCUAUAAGAAUGCUAAUAGACUUUAUUUCACACAUGGAGUUCACCUUGUAUCAGAUGGAUGUAAAUAGUGCAUUCUUGAAUAGUUAUCUAAAAGAGGAAGUGUUUGUAAAGUAACAUCCUGGGUUUGAAAGUGAAGAAUUUCCUCACUAUAUGUUCAAGUUAGAUAAAGCCUUGUAUGGACUGAAAUAGGCUCCAAGAUCUUGCUAUGAAAGACUCUCAAAAUUCCUCUUAACCAACAACUUUGUAAGAGAACAGGUGGACAACACUCUGUUUUUUAGGAGCAAAGGCAGGAAUGUUUUGAUUGUGCAAGUGUAUGUGGAUGACAUUAUAUUUGGGGCUACUAAUGAAGCAAUGUGCAAGGAAUUUUUUGAGAUGAUGGAGAAUGAGUUUGAAAUGAGCAUGAUGGGUGAACUGAACUUCAUCUUAAGCUUGAUAAGUGUGGAUUUUGACCACUUAUUAGUACCUUUUUACUUUUAUUUUAGUCCGAAAGUGUUGAUUUAUGUUUUCAAAACUAAUGAAAGUAUGCAAAUUGCAGGAAUAUUGGAGAUUUGGGUUCAAAUGAAGAAAUCCAACUCAAAAAGGAGUGUUGCGUCUCACAAGGCAAGAAGGGGAGCAACAUACCAAAAUUGUGGUACGCAAAAGUAUUUCUGCUGCCGCAAAAGAAAGUGCGGACCGCAAAAUUCUCCUUGCGAUCGCAGAUCUAUUAUUGAAGCUCAUAUAUGGAAUGAAGAGAAGUGCGGCCGUAGAACAUGGUCGCACUGACAAGAAUUCAAAAAGUUCAAAGAGUGUGCAAAAUGACCAAGACUGAAGCCUUGUCUGAAGUACGAAGCAUACAUGAAUUGUGCGGCCGCAGAAGCUGAAGUGAAAGUGCAGAUCAAAUUGUGCGGCUGCAGAAUCUAUCUACCCGCAGACUCAAGCAAUGUGCGAAACCGUAGAACCUCUCGAAAGGCAUUUUUGUCAGCAAAAGUUUGGCCACUAUAAAUAGACGAGAAUCACCUUUUUAGGUCAAAUUUUGAAGUUUCUUAGCUGUAGCUGUUGUAGUUUACCAUUUUGAGUAAUUUGUGAUAAUUUUGGGACAACAAUAUCAUAGUUUAACAUUUUAAUUCUAUAUUAUGGCUUUAAUUAAUGUUUGUUCUUUGUUUUCUUCAUUUUCUACUAUGAGUAGCUAGAUACUUACUAUGUUGUGACCCAACCCUAAUGUGUAAACCUUAUGGAUAUUUAAUUUAAUGCUUGUUUAUAAUUGGGUAUUUAUUAUUUAGCUUUGUUCAUGCUUUAAUUUUAGAAUUAAUGAUUGCAAAUAUUGAUUCAUCACUUUUUGACUUGGUCUUUACUUGAAAAGAGGGACCUAGUCUAGGAAAACUUGGUUAACAAGAAAUUGGACUAGUUAAGGAUUUGGUUAGCCUAAUUAAAGGGUUUGAACCAGAGAUUGGAAAAACCCGCCUUGAGCUCAUUUCAACUAUUUAGCUUGAUACCCAUUAGGGCUUGAUAAAGCCAGAUUGGGCAUAAUCACUCUAUGACCAAGAGGUAUUUAGUGGAUAACUUAGAGUUGAGAGCUAUAUUACACCCUAAUCAAUAAAACAAGUGUUAACGUAAUUAACCCAUUAGGCGAAUACCUAGGCGAAGGUUACAUCCCUAGGAUUUUUACUUUUUGAAAACAAUCAAAAAUAAUUAGUCAACUUCUAGUUUCAUUUCUCUAGUUGAUCAUUGAUAGUGUAAUUCAUAGAAGUAAUUUGCAAAACCAACUUGAUUGGAAGUGUGUUUAAGCUGUUUCAUCUUCACGCAUCAAGUGUACACUCUAACACCCAUUGUUAGCUCCCUGAGGAAAUUGACCCCGACUCAUAGUUGGGCACUAUUCUUCCAAUGACCUCUUUCACUCAUUGUUGAGUGUGGACUGGGAGUGGAUCAAUUUUUGGCGCCAUUGUCGGGGAGUUAAAAUGAUGUUAUCUAUAUAUUUGAAUGUGUUUUUGGAAUAUCUUCUUUCCCUUCUGUGGUACUAAUUUGGUUGAGAAAUCAUAGGUACAUAUAUGACGAACAAUGAGCUCAAAAACUUUCCUUUGGGGGACUUAGACACCGAGGAGGAACAAGUAGAUGAGGUACCUCAAAAGCCACAAGCCAAUCAGAGAGGCCGGGUAUCACAUGAUAACGUUCCCGUUCCACCCCACCUCCACCACGAACGGCUCAACACCAGAUAUUGCCCAGCGAAGGUUAUGCUAGUGCAGUAGUGUCACGACCCAAAACUCAACAUGUCGCGAUGGCGCCUGUCAUGGUACUAGGCAAGUCGACAUAUCACGCAUACCACAUUUUUAAAUUCCAAUUUGGAACUGAAAUAAAUUUAAAUAAGUAAGAAUCUCAUAAAAGAUGGGUAUAAACAUUGUAACUCAGUACAAAAUUCUCCCAAAAGAUCCGGGUGUUAUGAAGUACAUGAGCAUCUACAUAACAAUACGGUCUAACCAAUAGAACACUAUCUAGGAAAGUAGAACAAUAUAAACAAGACUAAAAGAUAAAGGAGGAGAGUCAAGGUCUGCGGACACCAAGGCAGCUACCUCGAUGAUCUCCGAACUGAUGAACUGUCAGGAAUCAGCAACCGUCGUGCCCGAAAAUACCUGGAUCUGCACACGAAGUGCAAGGUAUAGCGUGAGUACAACCAACUAAAUAAGUAACAAUUCUAACCUGCGGUCUGAAAGCAGUGAUGAGCUCACACAAUAUAGUAAAACAUAGAGUUUAACAAUACAGAAAAGUAGACAUGCUUCUAGAUUCAACAGUUAAGUUCAGCACAGGUAAAAUAGGCCAAGUGUGACUGAUAAGAAGAGUAUGACAUCUCUAUAUCUACAUGCCAAGGUGAAUACCGUAUGUGAUGCAACACAGUGAAAUCCCAAGUANNNNNNNNNNNNNNNNNNNNNNNNUUCAGUCUCUCUGUCUCACAACACUCAUGCUAAGCAACCCUAAUCAAUGAUACGAUAUGUGAUAAUAUACGAUAACAGAGACUGAGAUAUAAUAUGUAAUGAUGAAUUUAACUGAAUACACAACUGCAGUUAAACAGAUAAAUCAACAUCAAAAAACAACCACUAUGGGUCCUAAUAGUACUAGCAUAUAGCCUAAACAUGAUUUCUAAUAUGAAUCACAGUUCAAGUGCUCUAACACAUAGAGUACAACAAAAAUGUUCGGAUAAAAUAGCUACGCAGUUCCAAGGAAUCAACUAGAUCACAAUUUCUAUAGUGCACACCCACACACCUGUCACCUAGCAUGCGCGUCACCUCAACAUAAAUCACAUAGCAUGAAAUUCGUGGUUUCAUACCCUCAGAACCAAGCUUAGAAGUGUUACUUACCUCAAAUUGUGCUAAACUCUACUCCAACAAGUCCUUGCCUCACGAAAUAGACUCUGAAUGUAUCGAAUCUAUCCACAAACAAUUUGAUACAAUCAACACGAGCCGAAGGAAUCAAUUCCAUAAGAAAAUACUAAGUUCUUAAUCAAAAGUCAAAAAGUCAACUCAAAAGUUAGCCCCCCGGGCCCACGUCUCGAAAUUCGAUAAAAGUCACAAAAUCCGGAAGCCCAUUCAAUCACGGUCCAACCAUACCAAAAUUACCAAAAUCCAAUACCAAAUUGACACCCAAACCCCCAAUUUAAACGCUCCAAAUCCCUAGCCUCAAACUCUAAAAUUAUACCUUAAAACCACACAAUCUACCUGGGAAUAUCAACGGGGAAACAUAAUUAUUGAGUAAAUUUAACCACAAGUGACUUACCUCAAGAACCCCUUCGAAAUUCCUCUCAAAAAAUGCCUAAUCCCGAGCUUGAAAUGUCCAAAAUUAAGGAAAUCACAAAACCCUCAAACUUAAUACUCUGCCCAGCACUUUUGCACCUACGGCCUCGCAGGUGCGAGAAAUCUUCUGCUUCUGCGGUUAGCCCAAGGCUCCAAUGCUUCCGCUUCUGCAACCACACACACCCAGGUGCGAGUCUGCACCUGCGGAAAUCCUUAUGUAUCCGCGCUCCACAUCCCCCAAUCCAUUUCUGCUUCUGCGCUCCAGUCGCUGCAUCUGUGGCCACGUAGGUGCAAAAAUACCCUCGCAUAUGCGACCACUGCACACUCACCUCCAGGACGCAUCUGCACUUCCCUGCUCGCACCUAUGACCACCACUUUGCACGUACGAUUGCACCAGAACUGGUGAGCUUCAGCAGCCUCUCAACUUCCAAAUUUGAUCCAUUAACUAUCCGAACUCCACCCGAGGCCCCCGGGACCUCGACCAAAUAUACAAACACGUCCUAAAACACGAUAUGAACUUAGUCUAUCCUUCAAAUCACAUCAAACCAUGCUAAAACCCCGAAUCGCGCGUCGAUUCAAGCCUAAAGAACUUUUAAACUUCUAACUUCUACAUUAUAUGCCGAAACCUUUCAAAUCACGUCCGAUUGACCUCAAAUUUUACACACAAGUCACAAAUAACACGACAGACCUACUCCAACUCCCAGAACCCCAAUACAAGCCCAGUAACCACAAAGUCCACUCUUCGUCAAAUUUCCAAAUUUCCAACUUUCAUCAUUUCAAGCCUAAUUUAACUAUGGACCUCCAAUCCGGAUAAGCUCCUAAGUCCAAAAUCACCCAACGGAGCUAACAAAAUUAUCAAAGCUACAUUCCGGGGCCAUUUACACACAAUUCAAUAUCCAGUCAAUCAUUUCAACUUAAGCUUCCAACCUUGAGACUAAGUGUCUCAACUCUUUCCGAAACCUCUUCGGACUUGAACCAACUACUCCGGCAAGUCACAUAACAACAAUUAAGCAUGGAAUGAGCAAUAAAUUGGGGGGGGGGAGGGAAUGGGACUACAACUCUCAAAAUAAUCGGUCGGAUCAUUACAAAUAGUCCCUCUCUAUAUUAGGGCGGGCAACUUUCAAAUCACCAACGUGAUGCUCACAUUACUUUAGCAGCAUGCGUUUUUUACCGGUGCACCAACUCAAAAUGCCUACAAACAUUUGAAGGAUUUUGUGCAUAUAUAUUGGAGGAGCAAGCAAAUGAAUGUUUCCGAGGAUGCAUUGAGGCUAAGGCUUUUUUCCUUCUCUCUACGGGGGAAAGACUUGGAAUGGUUGGAACAAUUGCCGAACCAUUCGAUCGACACUUGGGAUGAGUUGGCGGCAAAGUUCAUUUCUAUAUUUUUCUCUCUCGGGCACAUGGCUACACUUCGAGAUGAGAUCUUGGCAUUCAAACAAGAGCUGAAUGAACCACUACACUAAAUUUAUUGAGCGCUGUAGAACAAUGGUUAAGAAAUGUCCCAACAAUAAUAUGACGAAAAACAUGUUGCAACAAACGUUUUGUUGUGGGACUAACACAACCAACCAAUGUGUAGUGAAUCAACUUGCCAGUGGAAACUUUAUGACUAAAACUUAUGAGAAGGCGUGCGAUAUUCUAUAUAAGAUGGCGGAGACGUCAUCGACUUAGCAAUCCCGGGCCAAUAUUCUACUAGGUGAUCUGAACAUGAUCCGCCUCCACAAAGAAUUGCAAGACCAUGGGCAAGCCAUUGCCAAAUUGACCACUACCAUGACUUAACUAACAAAGGCCUAACUUAAUUAAGUGCAAGCUCCUUUGCAUGUUCAUGUUAUGGAGGGAGUAAAUAUUUUGGUGAAGAAGAGGAGGACCAAGGGUCCACAAAUGCAAAGUCGAGUGGAGAACGAUGUGCAAGAUGAUGAUGAUGAUGGUGGUUUUGAUCAAGAUGAUUCUUAUAAUGAGCAAGAGGAUAAAGUUCAAUAUGUGAAUAAUUUUCAAGGGCAAAGAAACAACUUCCAAGGCCCAACACAAUAAUAAUGGCGACCACAAAACAAUCAUGGCAAUUGGAGUUCUAAUAAUCAAGGGAGUUGGCAUAACAAUAAAAAUAAUUAAGGGGACUGGAGUGGAAACAACCAAGAAAAUUGGGGAGGCAACAACCAAGGAGGUUGGGGUAACAAUCAAGGCAACCGGGGGUCAGGUUUUCAAAGGCCCCUAAUGUAUCAACAACCGAGUAACCCACCUCCUUAUCCUUCACAUGGUUCAAGUUUUUCAAACAAUGAGAUAGGACGUAUUGAGAAUAUGUUCAAGCAAAUAAUGAAAAAGAAUGCCGAUUCGGAUGACCAACUUUUCUCACACAACACAUCAAUCCGCAACAUAGAAGUUCAAAUGGGGUAAAUCUAUCAAGCUCUAAAUUCUCAUCCUAAGGGUACAGUACCAAGUUACACGGUGGUAAACCCAAAGGGUGGUAACAAUACGGGGCAUGUUAUGGCGGUCAUCACAAGAAGUGGAAGAGGUGGGAAUGCACCCACCUCAAGUGGAAGGAGACUUGUUGAUGAUGAUCAAGUAAUGUAAGAAGAAGAGAUCCCGAACAAUGUUGUUCAAACAAAUAGGGAAGUUUGGAUUGAUAUUGAUGAUAGUGCGCAAGAGAUUUAAGAGGAGGUGAACCUGUCUAAGGAACACAUCAUUGACAUACAAAAACCGGUAGUGAAAAAGGCAAAGGCACCAUUGCCUAAGCCUCCACCUCCAUACCCUCAAAGACUUGCCAAGAAAAAUAGUGAGAAUCAAUUCAAGAAGUUUAUUCAAAUGAUGAAGAGUCUUUCAAUCAAUGUGACAUUGGUAAAAGCUUUGGAAAAAUGCCCGGUUAUGCAAAGUUUAUGAAAGAUCUUGUGAAAAAGAAGCGGUCGAUGAAUUUUGAGACUAUCAUAGUGAGAGAGAUUGUUCAUUCAAUGGAUCCUAAGUUGGAGGAUCCCGGUGCUUUCACAAUUCCUUGUACAUUUGGAAGUGCUGAAUUUGCUAAAGCUUUUUAUGAUCUUGGGGCAAGUAUAAAUUUGAUGCCCUAUUCGGUUUUCAAGACUUUUGGGAUUGGGCAACCUAGACCCAUUUCUAUGAGAUUGUACAUGCCCGAUUGUACCAUAAAAAGUCCGUUGGGUGUGAUUGAAGAUGUUUUGGUCCGAGUUGAUAAAUUCAUUUCUCCGACGGGUGUUUUCAUUCUAGAUUGUGAAGUUGAUUAUGAAGUGCCAAUUAUUCUUGGGAGAGCUUUCCUUGAUACGGGUAAGGAUCUUUGUGAUGUUGAAGUCAAAGAACUCACUUUCUAGGUUGGUGAUGAAAAAGUGGUAUUCCAUGUGUGUAAGUCCAUGCGGCAACCAAAUACCAAAUUGAGUGUGUUGUUUUGUGGAUUUGGUGACCGAUGUUAUUGUUGAUGAUACAAGUGCUAUUAUCAAUGUUGGUUAUAUGUUGGAGGUCGUCUUGCUCAACUUUGAUGAUUAUUAGAUGGAUAUUUUCAUGGAAUGUGUGAACCCUUUGCAAGGAAUGGGGUCGUAUAACUAUGCACCUGGGAAAUUGUAUUUGGAUCUUGAAAAUAUGAAGUCUCCUCCUACAAAGCUGUCUAUUGAAGAUCCACCUACCUUGGAGUUGAGGCCAUUGCCUAUACACCUUUGGUAUGUAUUUCUUGUCUUGUGCUCUACUUUACCGGUUAUUGUUUCCUCUUGUUUGACUAACGUGCAGAUAGAUUCUGUAUUGACGGUGUUACAAAAGAGGAAAAAGGCUAUUGGGUGGACCUUGGUGGAUAGUCUGGGUAUAAGCCCCACCUUUUGCAUGCAUACUAUCAAGUUGAAGGAUGAAGCUAAAUCAUCCAUUGAACAUAAAAAAAAAGACUAAAUGAGGUUAUGCAAGAAGUUGUCAAGAAGGAGAUUAUCAAGUGGUUGGUUGCCGAGGUUGUCUACCUCAUCUCCGAUAGUUCAUGGACCUCUCUGGUUCAAUGUAUCCCACAGAAGGAGGGAAUGACGGUGGUCACCAAUGAUAAGAAUAAAUUGAUUCCUAUGUGAACGGUAAUCGGUUGGAGGGUGUGUAUGUAUUAUCGCAAGCUCAACAAAGUAACAAGGAUGAAUCACUUUUUACUUCCUUUCUUAGAUCAAAUGCUCGACAGAUUGGCUGGCCAUGCUUUCUAUUGCUUUCUUGAUGGGUACUCGGGCUACAACCAAAUUCUCUUUGCCCCAGAGGAUCAAGAGAAAACAACCUUUAUAUGUCCCUAUGAUUCUUUUGCUUUCAAGUGUAUGCGAUUUGGUUUGUGCAAUGCAACGACGACUUUUCAAUAGUGUAUGAUCGCUAUUUUUACUGACAUGGUGGAGGACUACCUUGAAGUUUUCAUGGAUAACUUCUCAGUGGUUGGGGAUUAUUUUGAUGAUUGUCUUGUAAAUUUGGACAAAGUGUUGGCUAGAUAUGAAGAAACCAACUUGGUACUCAAUUGGGAGAAAUGCCAUUUAAUGGUUGAGGAAGGUAUUGUCCUUGGCCAUAAAAUCUCAAGGAAUGGAAAUAAAGUUGACAAGGAAAAUAUUGAGGUGAUUUCUAAGCUUCCACCCCCAACUUCGGUGAAGGGUGUGCGGAUUUUCCUAGGCCAUGCAGGUUUUUACCGGCGCUUUAUCAAAACUUUCUCUAAAGUGGUAAGCCCGUUGUGCAAGAUCCUUGAGAAGGAUGCCAAGUUCAAUUUUAAUGAUGAUUGCAUGAGAGAUUUUGAAUUGUUGAAGCUCAAUUUGAUAACUUCUCCCAUCAUCACCCUCCAAAUUGGAAUGUGCCUUUUGAACUCAUGUGUGAUGCAAGUGACGUAGCGGUUGGGGUAGUUUUUGGAAAACGUAUCAACUAGAUUUUUCUUCGGGUAUACUAUGAUAGUAAGACCAUGAAUAGUGGACAAGUCAACUGUACCGUUACGGAGAAAGAGCUCCUUGCUAUUGUGUUUGCAAUUGAGAAGUUCCGACCCUACUUAAUGGGUGCAAAAGUUAUUGUACACACGGAUCAUGCGGGCUUCGUUAUAUUAUGAGAAAAAAGUACUCCAAAGCUCGAUUGAUGAGAUGGGUACUCUUAUUACAAGAAUUUGAUAUUGACAUCCAAGAUAGGAAAGGUAGUGAAAACCAAGUGGCGUACCACUUGUCUCAUUUGGAGAAAGAGGGGAUGUCGUAUGAUGGCCUUGAAAUCAACGACUCCUUCCCCGAUGAGCAACAUUUGGAAAUUUCAAUGAAAUAGGUGCCAUGGUUCAUGGACUUGGCAAAUUUUCUUGUGUGUGGAAUCAUUUCAGAUGAGUUCUCUUCAAGCCAAAGGAAGAAACACAAAGAGAUUGUCAAGAUUAUUAUUGGGAUGAACAAUACCUUUUCCGGAUUUAUACGGAUGGGUAGAUUAGGAAGUAUGUACCGGAAGAAGAGAAAGGUGAUAUUCUUGGAGCUUGUCAUUCUUUGCCAUAUGGGGGUCAUCAUGGUGGAGCAAGAACAACGGCAAAUGCUUAGUUGUGAUUUCUAUUGUCCUACUCUUUACAAGGAUACUAGUGAUUUGGUGAAAAGAUAUGAUGAAUAUCAGCGGGCCGGUGAAAUCUUAAAGAAAAAUGAAACACCUCUCACAAACAUCUUGGAGAUUGAUAUUUUAGAUGUUUGGGGCAUUGACUUCAUGGGCCCUUUUGUAAGCUCUUAUGGAAACACCUACAUCUUGGUCGCGGUGGAUUAUGUGUCCAAAUAGGUUGAGUCCGUAGUUUUACCCUACAACGAGGCGCGAAGUGUAGUGGAUUUCUUGAAAAAGAAUAUUUUCACAAGAUUUGAUACUCCACAUGCAAUCAUAAGCGAUGAGGGGUCAUACAUUUGCAACAAAGCUUUUGACACUUUACUUAGAAAGUAUGGUGUUACUCACAAGGUCACGAAUCCCUAUCACCCACAAGCUAGUGGGCAAGUGGAAGUCUCCAACUGAGAGAUAAAGAGUAUCUUGGCUAACACGGUGAAUGCUAAUCGGACGGAUUGGUCCAAGAAGCUUGAUGAUGCGUUAUGGGCUUAUCGGACGGCUUACAAAACACCUAUCAGAAUGUCUCCAUAUCGGUUGGUGUUAGGAAAAGCUUAUCAUCUUCCAGUGAAAAUAGAGCACAAAGCAAUGUAGGCGCUGAAGAAGUUGAAUCUUGAUUGGGAUGUAGCUGCUAACUUGCGGGUUACACAUCUGAAUGAGUUGGAUAAGUUUUGGUACCAUGCUUAUGCAAGUUCGUCUUUAUACAAAUAAAAGAUGAAAUAUCUUCAUGAAAAAUACAUUUAGAACAAAGAGUUCAAGGUGGGCGAUCUUGUAUUGUUGUUUAACUCAAGGUUGAGAAUGUUUCCUGGGAAGCUAAAAUUCAAGUGAAGUGGUCCAUUUGAAAUUGUUGAUGUGACACCUUUUGAUGCAUCAGACUUGAAGAAUAAAAACAAUGAAGUAUUCUGAGUCAAUGGUCAUCGGGUGACGCACUACUUGGUCAAGGUUGGAGAUAGCCACCUGUUGGCGGUCAUUUACUUCACUUGAGGGUAUUAUGUGUCAUGUCGCGACGUUAAAUCAAACACUUUUUGGGUAGAAACCUAUGUUCUUUUUCUUUUUAUUUUGUAGUUAGAUGUUAUUUGUGUUCUAACUUGAUUUGAAGUGUGCUACAGGGUUGAGUGCAAUAUGCAAAAAGAGUGAACUAAAAAAAGUCUAAGUGUUCAAGGAUCUGCGAAUCACACUUUAUUUACGUGGACUGCACAAUUCUAUGUGAUGCAGCAAGAGGAUAUCCGCGGCCGCACAUUUCACAUGUGGACUGCACAAUUGAGAGCUAACAAGUGUGAAAAUGUGAACUCUCUGAAGUUAGAGUCUGUCAGUGCUAAGCUAAUCUGCGGUCACAAGACAUUUUGUGCUGCUGCACUCAAAAAUGUAUGGACCGCAUAUUAAGAUCAGAGAAGGAUGACCCAGAUGAUAGAGUGCGGACCGCACAUGGAAAUCUGCGGCCGCACUCGCCCCUUUUCUCUAUUAAACCUCUUUGUAUAAAUAGAAGUUUGGAGUUCAUUUUUCACUUUUCACUCUCCAAACAAUCAUUGUUGCUCUAUUAAUUUACUAAGAGAUUUUCACUAUCCCACACACACACCUACUUGUGCUUAUACACCUGGUGCACUCACUUUAUAUGGUAUGCUUCAUUUCAUGUUAAAUUUUUGUGCUAGUUUAUUUUUUAAAAUUUUAGUUUCUUUUUAGUCCAUUCAUUAUUAGAGUUCAUCCAUGUGUCCAUGUAGGGUAGAUUUGAACUUGUAAUGAUAAUACAUGCUCUAAUGGGAUUAGGUUAGUGAAAUUUCAUGUUUAUACCAUAUUGCCAUACCUAAUUGUACAAGUAAUUACAAAAUUUAAGUAGAAAAAGAUUGCUUGUACGUAAUGUUUGAAAUCUACGGCCGCAUUUGAAAUUGUGCGGUCAGCAGUUUGGUGUUUUAAACAAAUUGUUGAAGGCUAGUGCUUCUGCGGCCACACUUAAAAUGUGCGGACCGCAGAAUUCUGAGAGCGGCCACACUUAGCCAUCCAAGGUCUACCCUUUUUGAGACCCCUAUGUGCGGAUCACAAAUUUAUUCUUCGACCACAAAAUAGCCUCCGAACUGUCUUCAGAGAGAGGAUUCUGAGCCUCUGAGGUUUGAUUGUUUGAAGUGGGGUCGUACUUGCAAUUAUACGGACCGCAGAACUCAAUUCCCGUUGCCUGUUGUUUUGUCGUAACCUCACUAUGUGCACAAUGUUCUGCCUUGCCUACAUAAUUCUUGAAUGUGUUGAAUGAUCACUUGCAACUAACAAUAUUCUUUGCUUUGAUCCAGACAACGGUUCGAUCACGCAGCCACGAUGACACUACAAAAGGAAGAGGUAAAUCUUCUAGGGGUCGAGGUAGAGGUACCUUUCCCCUUGGCCAUCCCAAAACCAUCACGAAGAAGGACACAUUGGGUAGGGGGAGAGGUGUAGACCUCUCUGAGUCUAAUUCCUAUGUCCCGUCUAGGGAAGCUUCGGAGGGCAACUCAGCCUCUAUUCAGGAGGAGCAGACAGAAACACAGUCUAGGCCACAUGGGCGAUUCCAACUCAUGGAUGAGGCCUCAUCAUCUCACAGCACUUCCGAGGGGUCGAUAAGUGCUAGCCAGAACUCUGAGCCAGCAGCUACCCCAGACACAGAUGCACAGACUAUACAUGAUAUCCCCGAUGAUGGUAGAGGGGUAGAUGGUACAUCCACAGGUAUGGAGUAAGGGUGGACCAAAAGGUCUUCAGGGCCUAAACGGGCCUGAACCGGGUAAGUGGGCCUGGUCUGGUCUUCUGGGUCGGUUCUUCACUUUAGGACUGCUAGGCCCAGGACCAUUUACGACCGGGACCGGACCGGUCUUGGCGGGCCCAAACGGUCCCAACGGUCAAAAAUUUAAAACAAAAAUUUAAAAAAUAGUUGUUAGGUCUGCCAAAAUAGUUGUUGGCUAUUUACAAAAUAGCCAUUUAAUCCCUCCCCCCUUCGCACACACACACACAUUUUUGUUUUAACCCAAACUUUUUUAUAAUUAUACUUUUUUCCUAUUUUCAACUAUAAAUACCCCCUCAUUCUUUCAUUUUUCUCACAAAUCAUCAAUCUCUCUCUGAGUUUCUUCUAUAAUUGCUACUAUUGCUUACUUUAUUGUUACAAUUUGUGAAAAAAUUAUGAAGUUGGUGAAUUGAAGUCUUUAAGUCUUCAACGAUAAUCAAUUUUCAACAAGUUUCGUCAAUUUGGUAAACUCGUUCCAACUCUUAAUUUUUAAUAUUAUAGUUUUGAUUGUUUUAUUUAUUUUCUAUUAUUUGAUUAAUUAAGAUGACUUUCUUAAAAAAAACUUUUUGGUAAAAAUAAGGGAAAAAUCCAAAAGUGGCGAAUCUAGUGGCCAAUAUGUUCCUCCUCCACUACCCCCGGCUCCCGGACCCCGAAUCUAGUGGCCAAUAUGAGAGUCAAUUUUGCCAUAAUGUUGGAGCUGAUGAACAAUUAGACCAUGAAUUACUGAAUGCUCUUUAUUCCAAUCUAACUAUUGAUGAAAAUGAUAAGGAAGAAAUAGAUUUUGAUGAAACUCAAUCGGAUGACGAUAUACCCACUAGUCCUGCUCCUGAAGUUAACCUAACUAGUGAUAAUCCAAAUGAUGCUCCGUCUGAUACUCCUAUCACUGCCUCUACUUUUUCUAGACAACGUACCAAAAAGAGAGAAACAUCUAUUGUUUGGCCAUUUUUUUACUCAACUAAUUCCACAAAAUAAGGCUAAGUGUAAAACUUGUGGUAAGGAGUUAGCUUUUAAAUAUUUUGGAGGUCCGGGGGGGGGGGGGGGAGGGGGGGGGAGGGGGGGAAGGAACUUUGGCUAGACACAUAUUGAUACACCUUCAAGAUAAAGUCAAAUAUCUUCGUGCCAAAGCUUUGGCCGAGGGGACAUGUGUACCUACUCCUAGUCAGGCUGACCCUAGUACCGGGUCAAAUCAAUUUCAACCAGGAAUUAACACUGUUACCGGUGGUAUUUUAUAUUAUGAUACAAAAAAGAUAGGAAAGAAUUGGCAAAAAUGGUUACUGUUAUAACGGUUUAAUACUACUUAUAAAGGUUUUCCUCGUACAACCGUAAAGAGCGAUAUUUAUAAAUAUAAACAUGAAUAUGAACAAUAUUUGCGUUAUUUAUUUACUCAUAUAAAUUAUCGUGUUGAUAUUACAACUGAUAUUGGUAGUAGUAACGACUGUGAUUACCUUACUGUUACCAGUCAUUGGAUUGAUGAGGAUUGGAUAAUGCAAAAGUGCAUUAUUUCUUAUAGAAUAAUUAAUUCACAUCACACAGGGCAGUUUAUUGCUAGCACAAUUACGGAUAUUUGUAGAUAUUUUUACAUUAGUGAUAAAAUAAUGUCAAUUUCAAUGGCUAAUGCAACUAGUAACACAAAUGAUAUAACCUUGCUUACCACUAUACUAAGUCCUGCAUUUAGUAACAUUUUUUAUGUUAGAUGUAUUUUUUAUAUUUACCAUUUAAUUGUGGGUGAUGGUAUGAGAAUUUUAAAUAUUGAAAUUGAAAAGGUUAAAAUGGCUCUUAACUGACUUUUUUAUUCAAACCGUAGAAGUAAACUUAGAGAAUAUUUUAAAAGAUGCGAUGAAUUUUUCAGAGGGUGGGAAAAUUUAUAAACUUGCUAUUGAUUCUAUGAGAAAAAUGUUUAAAAAAUAUUUUUUUCCUAUUUUCCCUAUUUAUGGUGUUGCUGCUUUGUUAAAUCCUUGUAUUAAAUUAGGAGGUCCUCAAUUUUGGUAUGAAACUGUUUAUAAAGGUUUAGCACUUGAAGAUGGGGAGUUGUCUAAACUUCCGGAAGUAAUAGCCUCAAUUAGAAUAAAUGCUCAAACUAUUUAUAAUGCUUAUCAAGUUGCAUUAGAUCAUGCUAUACCAAAUGUUCCAACUCCUUCUUCUUCUGAUUCUUAAUCAUCUAAAAGAACUAUGGGAGUAAGAGAACUUAGUGCUUGAACGAGGUUUAUGGGUUCUCAAGGUUCUACUAGUAGUAUUUUUCAUAACUAAAUAAGUUUUAAGGUUAUUUGUCACAAGGAAUUGAGGAAGUGAAUCCCGUCGGCUCCUUUAAUCUUUUGGAAUGGUGGAAGGACAAAGAAAAAUACUUUCCGAUGCUUUCAAGGAUGACCCGAGAUAUUUUAACUAUUCAAGCUUCAACAGUGGUAUCGGAGAGCACUUUCAGUCAAGCAAGAUUUCAACUCGGUGAUUAUAGAGCGUCUAUGAGGGAGAGCUUGGAAAAAUCAGUACUUUUUAGAGAUUGGAUCCGUUCGGAAAGAAAAAAAUUUGGACAUGCUGAAUCACAACCAGAGGUAGACGAAGCUUACGAAGAAAUGCUAGCUGAACUUGUGGAGGAUUCUGCUUCGUCCGAAAGAGGUGAUGACCAAGCUUCUUUUCCGCCACUACCAACAGAAAUUUCUCCGGACCUUACUGGAUUUAUGAAGUUUGUAAGAGAUACCAUGUAACUUGUAUGAACAAAAAUUAGUAUGUAUUAUAUAACUUGUAUUUUGGUACAUCUUGAUUAGUUUUAUUUUUUUCUCAAUGAUGGUAUGAGCACUUGUUGUGCUCAUUCCAUAGGGGGAGAGGAAGAGUAAGAAAGAUAUUGUCAUAUUUUUUUAAUGUUAUAAUAAAAUUAUAAUGCAUUACUUUGAAUAUCUCUUUACAGUAUUUUUGUCUUUAAAUUUGAAUUAAAAAAUUUAGGUCACAAUUCUAUAAUAAAAUUUACAAGGAAUUACCUUAGAUAUUUUUAUUAACAUCUUUUUUUUCUCUAAUUUCUAUAAAAUUUCAAAAAUAAAAGUAUCCAUUGGGCCCACUUAGGCCGGUCUCUGGCCGAUUCCUACAAAAAGACCACCAGGACCAGGAUCGUUUGGCCCGUUUAAAUUGGGACCGGCCCGGUAUCGGGACUGGGACCGUUUGGACCGGUCUACUUAGCCUACCUAGGCCCGGGACCGGCCCACAUGCCACCCUUAGUAUGGAACGAUCGAAGAAAAAUGAGAUAUGGGAGGAUAAGUUAGUCAGCUUGGAUGCCUUCACUGAUUUUCGUAUGUGGUGUCCGGUGAGAUCCUUGACACUCGAGCGGCAGUUUCUAUUGAAGAAUUUGGAUAAAUACAACCCGGCGGUGUUGAGGCAGUUUAGAGCAAGAAAGGGUUGGAUGUAGUUUACUAGAGAUUUGAGGAUGCCAAGGAGUACCUUGUCCGAGAGUUCUACGCAAAUGUUUCUCUCAUCAAGAAGGGUACGAAGAUGACUAAAGUACGCAAUCUCAAGGUGAGGUUUGAUCAACACACACUAAAUACGUACAUAGGGUUUGAGGACUUGGAGUCGAAGGAGUAUCUAGAUAAUUGCGCAAUGAAAGAAGAAGUCCAACCUUGGCUAGCAGAGAUCUUAACACCACUAAGGCCACCACCACCAUGGAUUACUACUGGGGUUCCCAUUCAGUGAAAUAUAUAAGGAUGGCAAACCUUUGUUUGUGGUAGACUUGAUUCAUGCCAGAAUGAGACUCAUCUUCCUCUUCCUCAUGUUGUUCUUGUGGCUUUUAUCAUGGCCGGGUACCAAGGUGGAAAUCGAAGAAGCCAUUUGACUGGUAUUCAUUGAUGGAUGCGACCAACCCAAAUAAGAGAGUUCAACCUUCUACCACCAGGGGACAGUUUGAUGAGCCGCCAGUAGUAGUUGCCGAGACAGAUGGCAUUCCAUCUACCUCUGAUGAGCCUUCUUCUAGUGCUACUGAUAUGCCUCCGCAACCAUCUUCAUAUUCUACCACAGCCCCCAGCAGGGCAUCCCCUGCUCCAUCUCCGAGGCCAGUGCCCAUGCCUACAACUCCAUUAUUUGCUCUGCGAGUCUCCAGACAUUAGCGAGUCUCAACAACUGGAUGCAGACAACUACUUCAAAGUUGUCUGACAUAUCUAGUACUGUUGCAUUGUAGUCAUCUACACAGAUACCACAUGUUUCCUCUGAUCUUGAUGAGAAGUUGAAGAAGAUUCUGGACAACCAGAAGAUGAUCAUGGACUCUCUGGUACAACGCAGUAUCGGUUAUUGAUGAGUUGGCCAAAGAAGUGAAAAAGAUGAGGAAGUCCUAGGCAAGCAAGAAAUCGGUUGACAAGCUCAGGAAGGAGGUGACCAGACUUGUGAUGGUUGGGGAUCUACCUUUUGAUAUGUUACUUGACCCUACACUAGUCUGUCCCAGAUCCAUCGGCACCAUAUGCACCGGUUGCACCACCUGGCCAGUCUGAUGAGCAAUGACUUGCUGUCGACACUGCUGAGGCAGUGCGUGCGAUAUUUACCACUCCCGCCACGCCCAAAUUUGAUGAUGAUGGGAUAUAUUUGGCUGGUCCAAUGGGAGAUGAUGUUGCUGGGGAAAUUGAGAUGUCCAAGGAUUCUUAGGGAGUUUUCUUUGCCCUCUCUCCUUUCACUCUUAUUUUGUUAAGCAUUGGGGAUAAUGCUUACUUUUAUUCGGGGGUGGAGUUUAUUUGAUUUGACAUUGAAACAUUUUGGAUAUAUUUGGACUGUAAUAAUUGGAUGAUUCUAUUCCUUUUCUUAUUUAUAGUUUAUCUAUCUUUAGUAGUUAUUAUUCAUUAGCUUCUUUAUUUUUCCACUUUAGUUCUUAUUUUUUUAGUAGCUUUUUUUUUUAUGUUUUAAUAAGCCUUUGGUUUUAUCAAUGCUACGGUUCUUUCCAAAGGUAGUUUUUUGUGUGAACCGGGUGACUCGUCCCAACGAUGGAUGAUGUGACAACACUCUUAAGGGAAUGAGUCCAUUUUUGUAUUUAAGUAAUAAUAGUAGUAGUAGUAAUAAAUAAAAGGCCUAAUCAAAUCAUUCUCAAAAAAGAGUUAUUCAUGCUUUAUUUGGUACCAACACACUUAACUACGUGCUUAUGGUUUGAAACAAGGUUUUAAAAAGAAAAUAGUUCUAGUUAGUGACUUUGAAACUCUUGAGUUGACUUUGGUAAUCAUCAAGUGGUUUAUUGGACCAUAGUGAUCUUUUACUUGAGUGUGGUUGUUGUAGGCUCUCGACUCUAUCCUCUUUUAUGGUCUAGUUGCGUGAAGGGUGGGGUCAUUUGUAGCUAGUCCAAAUAUCCGUGCGAAUGGUCUAGAACUUUCCCCGAAUGUGCUUCAAGGCAAAACCCUAAGUUUUGCUUGGUUUGGGAAAUGAUUGUAGGCUUUCCUUGGUCUGUUUGAGCUUUCUGUUUCCAACCAAUGUCAUUAUCCCUAGUCAACCCCCUUUAAGCCUCUAGCCUUUCUUAUUUGAUAACCAUGUUAUAAGCCUUUACCCAUUUUUUCGUGAUCCUCUCUUGGCACCCAGACCUUCCUUAACACUCUUGUGAAAUAAGUGGCUUAAGGCAUAAGUUUGGGGGGAGAAUUGAGGGAUUUUAAGGAGGUAUCAAGACACAAAAAUAGAAAAGAAAUGAUCUCUAUGAAAAGAGAAGGCAAGAAAAGAAAAAGAACAAAAAGAAAAAUGCAAAAAAGAGAAUAGGUAGAAGGGUUGAUGGAUUCAAAAAGAGGUAAUGAUCCUUAACAUGAGCAUCAAGGGAGAAAAAGAAUGAAAUGAACAAGAAAGUGUGAUGUCAAGUCUCUCUAGCCCCCAAUAAAAAGAGAAUGCCUCUAAGAAUUGGUAAUUGUGAGCCAAGAAAUGAAAAUGUGGAGUGCUUAAGGCAAGGUGUAACUACUUACCCAUAUGGUAUCCUACCCUAAUCCAAAAUCCUUCAUUACAACCCCAAAUAAGUCCUACUUGGUUUUGAACCGAGUGAGCUUACAUUGGUGAUGAUCUACAUGAGGGGCAAGUCUAUGGUACUUGAAGCCGUACUUGUGACAUUCGAUUAUGAGAGAAAAGUGAACCUUUCAUGAAUCUUAAGAUUGAGUUCUAACUUUUGAAGUGAUCUUGGCACAUGGACGGUAGAGUAGGAAGAGUUUAGAUUCAACUAUGACCUACAUGAUAGAACAAGAGCCCUUGAUGAGUAAAGUCAAUUCUUGAAGCUCAAAUGUCACAUUAGAACUAUAUGUGCAUGAUACUUUGCUUGUCACCUUGUUGAUAAUGCAUGAGUAGUAUGGGUAAUUGUAGGUCCCAACUGAGUAUGAAUGUCUCACCAUUGACUCGUUGUAAAGACCUUUCACUCUGAGGAGGUAGGAACUAAUCUAAUUGCUUGAGGACAAGCAAAGACUUAAAUUUGGGGGAGGUGAUAAGUGUGGAUUGUGACCACUUAUUAGUACCUUUUUACUUUUGUUUUAUUCUGAAGGUGUUUAUUUAUGUUCUUAAAAUUAAUAAAAGUGUGCAAAUUGCAGGAAUGUUGGAGAUUUGGGCUCAAAUGAAGAAAUCCAACUCAAAAAGGAGUGUUCCGGCUCAAAAGGAAAGAAAGGGCGCAACAGAACAAAAGUGCAGUCCGCAAAAGUAUUUCUACGGCCGCAAAAGAAAGUGCAGAAUUCUCCUUGCGGCCGCAUAUCUAUUGUUGAAGCUAAGAGAUGGAAUGAAGAGAAGUGCGGACCACACACAUUUUGUGCGGCCGCAAAACAUGGUCGCACUGACAAAAAUUCAAAAAGUUUAAAGAGUAUGUAAAAUGACCAAGACGGGAAUGUGCGGCCGCAGAACCUCUCAAAGGGCAUUUUUGUCAGCAGGGCCACUAUAAAUAGACAUGAAUCGCUUUUUAGGUCAAAUUUUAAAGUUUUCUUAGCUGUAGCCAUUAUAGUUUACCAUUUUGGGUAAUUUAUAAUCAUUUUGGGACAAAAACAUCAUAGUUUACAACAACAACUAAACUAUGAUGUUUUUGUCCCAAAAUGAUUACAAAUUACCCAAAAUGGUAAACUAUAAUGGCUACAUCUAAGAAAACUUCAUAGUUUAACAUUUUAAUUUUAUAUUAUGGCUUUAAUUAGUGUUUUUCUUUGUUUUAUUCAUUUUCUAAUAUGAGUAGCUAGCCACUUACUAGAGUUUGUGUAAACCUUAUGGGUAUUUAAUUUAAUGCUUGUUUAUGAUUGAGUGUUUGUUAUUUAGCCUUAUUCAUGCUUUAAUUUUAUAAUUAAUAGUUGCACACAUUGAUUCAUGCAUUUUUGACUUGGUCUUUACUUGAGAAAGAGGGACCUAGUCUAAGAAAACUUGGCUAACAAGAAAUUGAACUAGUUAAGAAUUUGGUUAGCCUAAUUAAAUGGUUUGAACCAGAGAUUGGGAAAACCCGACUUGAGCUCAUUUCAACUAUUUAGCUUGAUAACCAUUAGGGCUUGAGAAAGCCAAAUUGGGCAAAAUCACUCUAUGAUCGAGAGGUAUUGCUUGGGUAACUUAGAGUUAAGAGCUAUAAUACACCCAUAAUAAAUAAAAUAUGUGUUAACGUAGUUAACCCGUUAGGCGAAUACCUAGGCGAAGGUUACAUCCCUAGGCUUUUUACCUUUUUGAAAACAACCAAAAAUAAUUAGUCAAUUUCUAGUUUCAUUUCUCUAGUUGAUCAUUGAUAGUGUAAUUCAUAGAAGUAAUUUGCAAAACCAACUUGAUUGGAAGUGUAUUUAAGUUUUUUCAUCUCCACGCCCAUUUUUAGAUCCUUGAGGAAAUUGACCUCGACUCAUAGUUAGGUACUAUUCUUCCAACGACCUCUUUCACUCAUUGUUGAGUGCGGAUUGGGAGUGGACCAGGGCUGCAAAUCAAGCAAACACAUACUGGAGGCAUGAUACAGCAGCAAAAAUACAUCAAGGAUCUGCUGAAGAAAUUUAACAUGUACUCCUUUAAGUUUAUUGACACUUCCAUUGACAUUGCAACUAAGCUGGACCUUGAUGAAGAAGGGAAAAUUGUUGAACAGAAACUAUAUAGAAGAAUGAUUGGGUCUUUGUUGUACCUCACAACAAGAAGGCCUUAUAUCGUAUUCAGUGUGGGACAGUGUGCAAGAUUUCAGGAAAAUACCAAGGAGUCUCACCUGAAGGCUUUCAAGAGGAUACUAAGAUAACUCAAGGGGACUCCUGACAUGUGCCAAUAGUAUCCCACAGGGUAUAGUUUUGAUCUAGUUGGUUAUGUUGAUGCUGACUAUGCGGGUUUUCAUGUUGACAGGAAAAGAACUUCAGGAACAACUCAUUUUCUAGAUUCUUGUUUGGUAUCUUGGGGAACAAAGAAGCAAAACUCAGUGGCCUUAUCCAUAGAUGGCGCUAAAUAUGUGGCAGUAGCAUCCUGCCGUGCUCAGUUGCUAUGGAUAAGACACCAACUAAGGGACUAUAGUAUUUUUGUUGAUUGUGUUCCCAUUUUUUGUGCCAACAUUAGUGCUAUAAGCACUGCUAAAAAUCCAUGUUAGCACAAGAGAACCAAGCACAUUGACAUUGGGCACCACUUUCUCAGAGACAAUGUUGAAAAGGGGAAUAUCUCAAUUAACUUUUAUAAAACUGAAGAUCAAAUUGCAGAUAUUUUUACUAAAUCUCUGAGUAAGGAUCACUUUGAAAGGAACAAACUAGAACUAGGUAUAACUAAUACUUCCAACUAGUUGAACCCCAAUGAUUGGCAAGAAAAAGUAUAAUUAGAUAUAGAUAGUCAACUACAAUGUGUUUGAUUCAGACUCAUACUUGUAUUAAGAACACACACAUGCUUAGAAAAAUGUGGUUGAUAACUAUGUUGUAUGAUACUAAUUUGUAGUGCUGAAGCUUUAUUGCAGAAACAAGUAAAGAGUUACUAAGGAGUUAGUUCUUCGACUCAGGUAUGUACCAUCUUGUCUUAAUUCACUAGGACUUAAUAUCCUUAAUUAUUGUAAUGAUCAUACUUCUAAUCUUGUUAUCUAUCUGUCAUCUAGUCAAAGAGAAAUGGGGAAUCCUAGAGCAAUUAGAGUUUAAUUACUUCUGAAAUCCUAACAGCCAAAGUAAUUAUUAUAAUAGUUACAUUAGAACUCAAAUUCGGUCACCCUCUCUCUUCCAGUCAAAUUAGGAGUAACGUCUUUAAAAGUCCCUUAUGAUCAGCUUCUCAGGCCUUACUGUUCAACUCAGACCCUAAGCAAUAAUCAAGUAAUAAUUCUCUCUUCUCCCUUCAUCGAUUUUUUUCUCUGAUCACCAUGCCUAAAUCUAGCCAAACCCCUUCUAAAUCCAAAUCAUCAUCCAAGACUGAAGUCAAAUCCAAGAACUUGAAGGCCAAAUCAAAGAAAAGUCAAACCAUCAAGUGAACCUGUACCAACACCAGCUGCUUCUCCAUUGAUAUCCUACACUAUACCUACACCAUCAUCCCUUGUUCCUGCUGCUCUCACCAUCCCCACCUUUACUGCACCUUCACUUCCAAAACUAACCACCCAUGCAUAUGUGCCUACUUCGAAAAAUACCUCUACGUCAACCAAGAUUAAGGCUACACCAAGAAAAUCUGUCAAGAAUGUCAAGGUAGUGCCUGAUGCUACUGCUCAAGUAGACACAAUGGUCAAGGAAGAUGUGGUUCAGGGGGAAUCAGUGCCAGUCACUACAAGUCACGUACAACUCCCUCCUUCAAAAUUAAAUGUUCUGGCAUUCUCUAUAGAUGUUUCACCCUUAGACACGCUUCCACCCACAAGUGAUAAACCACAAGUGGAGGAACUAAGUGUAGAAUAUAGUGCAGAAAAUCUGGAGAAAGAGGUAGAGACCACUAUUGUGGUGCCUGUGGUUGAGAGGGAAGAGAGUAAAGAACCAGUGCAAAAGGAGACAUCUGAUGGUCUUUCAUUCAGUUGGACAUAGGAUGAAGAUGAUACUGGGGGUGAAAAGGAAGAAUGAGUUGUAGGCAGUCAUAGGGAACAUACUACUCAAGACAUAGCUAAUGAAGAGGAAAAGAGUGAGAAUGAGGGAGAUUCUGGUAAAGAUAAGGAGAGUGAGACAGAAGAUAGGAUAUGUGAACAAAUGGAUGAUUCUAUAGAAGAAGAAAAGAAUAGUGAAAAAGAGGGUACUUCUAAGAGUGAAGGUGAGGAUAAAGAAAAGGCAAGUGAGAGUGAAGGAGUGGAUGAAGCAAGUGAGGAAGUGAAUGAAAAUAUAAGUGAGGAAUCUGAAG
Molecule: long non-coding RNA, 37536 nt
Filed under: Nicotiana tabacum (common tobacco)
Lineage: Eukaryota; Viridiplantae; Streptophyta; Magnoliopsida; Solanales; Solanaceae
Description: long non-coding RNA (NTAB_LNC002639)
Source: RNAcentral